GGUUGGGGCCAGUCCUGAGAGCCAGCUCAGGUCCUGAUCAUCCUGGGCCCCAGACUUCUACACAUUGUCUGCCCUCCGAGUGUUAGCAUCUGCUGUUCUUCCCAAAGAGGCUGUUACCACCUGCCUGGAGAGAGGAAGGUCUGACUGAAGUGCGGUUGGCAGUAAUGGUCCCAUCCACCACUGAACUUAAGUAAUGAGUUAUAACCCCAGCUUUACCACAUGGGAACAUAGAUCUUCAAAGUCUAAAGACAUGUUAGAAGUUCACGUGUCUUCCUCCUCACCGUUUGAGGGUACAGAGUUGGGAAAUUGGAUGACCGUCAGCUCAGUGUUGGAUCGGCAGUUUCUCCAGAUCACAGACCCCAGUGCCAAACUAGCUUGAGACCCUGACUCUGUCCCACGCUAGAGUGUGGCCUGACAUUUUGUGCUUAAACUCCAAACCUGCUUCCUGAUCUAUAAAAUAGGGACCAUUGAGCAUUUUGGACGUGCCUGAGUGGCUCAGUCAGUUAAGUGUCUACCUUGGGCUCAGGUCAUGAUCUCAGGGUCCUGGGAUCGAGCCUCACAUCAGGCUCUCUGCUCAGCGGGGAGUCUGCUUCUCCCUCUGCCCCUCCUUCAACUCACGCGCACUCUCUCUCCAAAAUAAAUGAAUAAAAUCUUUUCAAAAAGAUGAAGAAAAAGCGGUGAGAAGACUACUCAGUAUGCAGUAUGUUCAAUGAAUCUGCACUAUUAUUUUCCCCAUGAGGUCAAGAUCCACUCAGUACCUUAUUACUCAACUCAGGAAUUCCAGGUCCCACUGCGUGCAGAAGGUGUGUGGCUGGAAGACCCACAGGAGGUGGAAACCGUGGCAGAAGGAGCAGAGCAUGUUGGAAUCGCAGGGCAGGAAGAACUGAGAUCCAGAGGGGAGAAAUGAUUCGAAAGAGGACUUGGAGAGCCUCCUGGGUGGCAAGGAGGGAGACCCCAUCUGCCCCUCUGAGCCUGGUCUCUGCACCUACCCGGGCACAGGGGCACUUACUGAGAAGAGCAGGAAGUCAUGACCAAAUGCAGAAGGUGAUCCAGCCGAAUCUCGCAGGACCUUUGAGCCAUCUUUCAAAUGUUGCUCACUCAGCCCUCCCGGAACUCUGCCCUGGGUGCCAGAGAGCCAUGCUUUGCUCUCCCCAGCCCCCUCGCACCCAGGCCUCUGGAUUUCCUGGGCAGCUCCCACCUCCAUCUGCUUCCAGCCCCACUGACUCAAGACCCCUGCCGUGCAGCAUCUUGUUCUUUCUCGUGGUUUCCUCUUCCAAGUGGUGGGCUGUGUCUCCAGAUUAUUUCCCCUUGUGGUUUCCAUCCACCCCUGUCCCUGCACGACCUGAGGUUCCACCGCCCGUGUCCCAGCCCCACCGAACUCAAAUCCAUCAGUAUCUUCUCUGCUAGACCUUCUCUCAGCUCCCAUGUUUAUUGGAGGGUGAAGAAACCUCAGGCGUGUAGAACCUCAGGAGGGUGUCGAAACCUGAGUUGGUAGAGUCCCUCGGUUGAGGACAGCACAGCAUCCUCACCGUGAAUCUCGUCCAGCGCAUUCUCCCCCUCUCUCUGCUCUGUUUCCGUCUCUCCCUCUCUGCCUCUCUCCAUCUCUCUGUGUGUCUCUCCCUCUCCAACUCCCUCUCUGCCACUCUGUCUCUCUCUGUGUCUCUCCAUCUCUGACUCCCUUUCUCUCUCUCCAUCUCCCUCUCUGCUGCUGUCCAUCUCUCUGUGUGUUUCUCCAUCUCUCUCUCUCUCUCUCUGCCUCCCUCCAUCUCCGUCUGUCUUCCUCACUGUCUUUCCCUCUUUCUGUCUCCCUUUCUAUUCCUUAUUCCAUUUUCAUUCCUUUCCCUCUUUUCCUCAGUGGCGUCCCUUGCUUCCUAGAUG
Molecule: long non-coding RNA, 1878 nt
Organism: Mustela lutreola (European mink)
Lineage: Eukaryota; Metazoa; Chordata; Mammalia; Carnivora; Mustelidae
Exons: 3
Source: RefSeq, a predicted model, not a curated record